Molecule: ribosomal RNA, 450 nt
Filed under: uncultured bacterium
Lineage: Bacteria
Description: partial 16S ribosomal RNA
Rfam family: Bacterial small subunit ribosomal RNA
Source: RNAcentral
GUGGGGAAUUUUGGACAAUGGGCGCAAGCCUGAUCCAGCAAUGCCGCGUGCAGGAAGAAGGCCUUCGGGUUGUAAACUGCUUUUGUACGGAACGAAACGGUCCGGGCUAAUACCCUGGGCUAAUGACGGUACCGUAAGAAUAAGCACCGGCUAACUACGUGCCAGCAGCCGCGGUAAUACGUAGGGUGCAAGCGUUAAUCGGAAUUACUGGGCGUAAAGCGUGCGCAGGCGGUUUUGUAAGACAGGCGUGAAAUCCCCGGGCUCAACCUGGGAAUUGCGCUUGUGACUGCAAGGCUGGAGUGCGGCAGAGGGGGAUGGAAUUCCGCGUGUAGCAGUGAAAUGCGUAGAUAUGCGGAGGAACACCGAUGGCGAAGGCAAUCCCCUGGGCCUGCACUGACGCUCAUGCACGAAAGCGUGGGGAGCAAACAGGAUUAGAAACCCCUGUAGUCC